RNAcentral lists this ribosomal RNA (447 nucleotides) under uncultured bacterium. Its description in RNAcentral is "bacterial SSU rRNA". It matches the Rfam family "Bacterial small subunit ribosomal RNA", at positions 355 to 825 of the family's 1533-position model. The record is from RNAcentral.
UCGGGAAUUUUGGGCAAUGGGCGAAAGCCUGACCCAGCAACGCCGCGUGAAGGAUGAAGUAUUUCGGUAUGUAAACUUCGAAAGAAUAGGAAGAAUAAAUGACGGUACUAUUUAUAAGGUCCGGCUAACUACGUGCCAGCAGCCGCGGUAAUACGUAGGGACCAAGCGUUGUUCGGAUUUACUGGGCGUAAAGGGCGCGUAGGCGGCAAUUCAAGUCAUCUGUGAAAUCUCCGGGCUUAACUCGGAACGGUCAGAUGAUACUGCUUUGCUAGAGUGCAGAGGGGGCAAUCGGAAUUCUUGGUGUAGCGGUGAAAUGCGUAGAUAUCAAGAGGAACACCUGAGGUGAAGACGGGUUGCUGGGCUGACACUGACGCUGAGGCGCGAAAGCCAGGGGAGCAAACGGGAUUAGAUACCCAUGUAGUCCCUGAGCGGGCUGGCAAGGCGCAU